RNAcentral lists this ribosomal RNA (699 nucleotides) under Xylographa soralifera. Its description in RNAcentral is "SSU rRNA". It matches the Rfam family "Bacterial small subunit ribosomal RNA", at positions 470 to 1224 of the family's 1533-position model. Lineage: Eukaryota; Fungi; Ascomycota; Lecanoromycetes; Baeomycetales; Xylographaceae. The record is from RNAcentral.
UGACAUUUUCUAUCUAUGUGUCUUGACCAAAUCACGUGCCAGCAGUCGCGGUAAUACGUGGAAGACUAGUGUUAUUCAUCUUUAAUUGGUUUAAAGGGUACCUAGACGGUCUAUUAAGCCCCUAAAGGGUACUUACAGACUAGAGUUUGAUGAGAGGGGGGAAGUACGAGAGAGUGUAGAGAUGAAAUUCUGUCAUACCUUACUUGGAACAGGCAACGGCGAAAGCAACUCCUUAUGUAAAAACUGACGUUGAAGGACGAAGGCUUGGGACACCAACAGGAUUAGAUACCCCAGCAGUCCUUGCAGACAAUGAUGAAUGUCAUAGAUUGGAAUUAAAUAUCUUUUUUUUUAAGAUAUCUUUUUGUCUAUAAAUGAAAGUGUAAGCAUUCCACCUCAAGAGUAAUGUGGCAACGCAGAAACUGAAAUCAUUAGACCGUUUCUGAAACCAGUAGUGAAGUAUGUUGUUUAAUUUGGUGGCCCGCAAAACACCUUACCACAAUUUGAAUAUUUUUAUAUUUAUAGAAAUACAAGCGUUGCACGGCUGUCUUCAGUUAAUGUCGUGAGAUUUUGGUUAGUUCCAUAAAAUUAACGUAAACCCUUGCUUUAUUUUUAUUAUAGAGUAGUUCACCGCUAUAUUGGAUACGAUAAAAGGGAUUAAGACAAGUCAAUAUGGCCUUAAUAUUGUGGGCUAUAGACGUG